GUCUACGGCCAUACCACCCUGAACGCGCCUGAUCUCGUCUGAUCUCGGAAGCUAAGCAGGGUCGGGCCUGGUUAGUACUUGGAUGGGAGACUAAACACGAUAUCUGCAGUGGUGUACU
Molecule: ribosomal RNA, 118 nt
Filed under: Oryctolagus cuniculus (rabbit)
Lineage: Eukaryota; Metazoa; Chordata; Mammalia; Lagomorpha; Leporidae
Source: RNAcentral